This is a non-coding RNA of Pelobates cultripes (western spadefoot toad), 241 nucleotides long. The record is from the annotation of a GenBank genome assembly. Lineage: Eukaryota; Metazoa; Chordata; Amphibia; Anura; Pelobatidae.
GGGGCGGAGCUUGACCGCCGACGAAGAUGGACUCGAACUAAGGGAGCUCCGAGGUGGCAGACACUCACACCAGCUCACAACAGGGGCAAUAGAGCCUACAUACCGCCACAACCCGGGCGCUACCACCCUGACCAACACUGGGACGCACUGACAUGGGCGGAGGGAGGAAGUCCAAAUCUGGAGCGGCCGUAGCACCGAUUUUUAAACCUAGGCCGGACAGAGAGGCGCCACGAGGCCUAAG